GAUGCAAGCGUUAUCCGGAAUGAUUGGGCGUAAAGCGUCCGCAGGUGGCUGUGUAAGUCUGCUGUUAAAGAGUGAGGCUCAACCUCAUAAAGGCAGUGGAAACUACAUGGCUAGAGUGCGUUCGGGGCAGAGGGAAUUCCUGGUGUAGCGGUGAAAUGCGUAGAGAUCAGGAAGAACACCGGUGGCGAAAGCGCUCUGCUAGGCCGCAACUGACACUGAGGGACGAAAGCUAGGGGAGCGAAUGGG
Molecule: ribosomal RNA, 246 nt
Filed under: uncultured bacterium
Lineage: Bacteria
Description: partial 16S ribosomal RNA
Rfam family: Bacterial small subunit ribosomal RNA
Source: RNAcentral